AGAUCUUACCUUAGUGACCCAAAAUAGGGGUUAAUGAACAGAGAUAACGGGUUGGCUCUCUCCUUGUGUUUCUCUACAGUUGAUAUACUCCCCAGAGAAUGUCUCCACCUUGCUGCAUUCAUGCACCUCCAAUUGUUUUAAUAAUGGCCAAUCUGUAGUAUGCACCUUGGAGUAGAAACCCUUCAAUUUGGGUAGCUUACGAAGUAUCAGCUGUCUUAUUUUAGGAAACAUAAACUUUGUGGUUGAUUUGAGCUCAAUCGAUUCAUUUGAGUUGUGUCCGAUUAUUUCUUCUACCGACUCACAUUCCGAUAUUUCCAGAAUAUUUAGUUUUUCAAGUCUUUCCACCAUAUCAUAUGGUAAAACUCUCAAAAGUUUGUCACAGUGUUCCACCAAAAGCAAGGUUAAUUCAUGAAAUGAAUCCAUAGUGAGUUUAUCUUGCCAUAUCUUUCUACACUUUCCCACGCCUACAAUUCUCAAAUCGUCCAAGCUAGGAAACGCGACCUGCGGGAAUUAUUUACGUUGUUAAUGAGGAAAAUAAGUUAGAAUUCUACUUAGAUAUGAAAAGUAAAUUUACUACAAGAAAACAAAAGAAGAAUAUCACCUUUUGGUUGAAAAGUGUAUUGGUCUCCGAGUUUUCUUGAUGGCAGAAUGUCCUUAGUUUUGGAAGCCUAUUGAGCUCCAGUUUUUGUAGCUUACUGAACAAGUAAGUCUGAGGUAUCCCUUCUUCUGCUACGGUUGCUAAUCCAUCUGUAAAGAUUAUUUCUUCCAGGUUCUCGCAAUCAAGAAGGCUAAGUUGACGGAGCCCCUCAAAAGUUCUGACUAAAAAGGAUGGGAAUAGAUAUUCCAAAUUAUGGCAACGACUUUUUUUCUAUUUUUAAUUAAUUGUUGGAUAACUUAUAUCUUUAAGCCAGAUUCUAAUUAUGUUAAAUCGUAACCAUUUAGAAGCUAAAUUUUGAUUUUAUCAAAUCGUAACCGUUUAAAAAUAUUGUUUCUUCAAUGUCUUUGCAUUACCAACAAAUUUCUCUAAACAUGAGAAUCCAAAAGCAUGGUUGCAUGAACAAAAGCUCUUGAUGAUGAGAAUGAUUCAAAUGAAUGAACAUCUCAAGAAUAAAUGCUCUCAUCUAUGUUGAAUAGAAUGAAUAGUGCAAUCCUCUUACAUCAACUAUUUAUCGACUGUGAUUAAAUGCACAAGAUGAAAGUGGGAUGGAAUUUGAUUAGGAUUAAAUAUUUAUUCAGAGAUGAUAUUUUUAAGGAUUUUAAAUUCUAUUUUUUAGAAUUUAAAUUAUUGUGUAAAAAUUGAACCAAUUUGCUUUUAUUGUACCAUGCUUUUAGCUAUUGUGAAUGCAUUAAAUUUAUGAAUCCAUGGCAUUUUGAUACUUCUAGAAUUGUCAAAUGUUUGAAUGACACAAAAGAUGGCACUAAAUUCUUUAAUUUUCCGCAUCCCACCACUUCUAGAAAACUUCUGCAAGUGAUAGUUUGUUUUUCUAGAGAUGUGUCAACUCAGGAAGAUAAUACAAACUUAAUUCCUUCAAGAAAGCAAGCGUUCCUGUAUUUUCAUUUUCAUCUCUUACUCCUUUACAUGGAAAUAAUUCAUUGAAGGGAGCCCUUUGCCAAAAGAAAGGUAUUCAAGAUUUGUUAAUGACUAAAUGAAACAAUCUGAGAUAGUAACUCAUGUUUCGGGACAAUAUAACUCUCUUAGUUUGGGACAAUAUUGCUUGAGGUCUGCUCCAUGUCCAUGCCAUACCUUCAUAUUGCCAUUCCCAUCCAAAACCAAUUCUUCUAAAUUGGGGAAUGUUUCCUGAGAAAUUAAGAAACAUAUAUACAUUAAAUAAAAGCAAAUCUUCUAAAGUGAAUGAUAAAAUAUGCAAAUCUGUUUAGAUUGACCUUUUAUUUAGUUUCUUUUAUGAGAUCUUACCUUAGUAACCCAAAAUAGGGGUUGUGGAACAGAGAUAAUGGGUUGGCUCUCUCCUUGUGUUUCUCUUAAGUUGAUAUACCCCCCAGCAAAUGUCUCCACCUUGCUGCAUUCUCUCACCUCCAAUAAUUUUAACAAUGGCCAAUCUGUAGUAUGCACCUUGGAGUAGAAACCCUUCAAUUUCGGUAGCUUAUAAAGUACCAGGUUUCUUAUUUUAGGAAACACAAACUUGGUGGUUGAUUUGAGCUCAAUCGUUUCAUUUGAGCUGAGUCCAUGAUCAUCAGCAAGUCCAAUUAUUUCUUCUACCGACUCGCAUUCCAAUAUUUGCAGAGUUUCUAGUUUUUCAAGUCUUUCCACCAUAUUAAAUGGGAAAACAUUCGAAAGUUUGUCACAGUGUUCCACCAAUAGCAAGGUUAAUUCAUGAAAUGAAUCCAUAGUGAGUUUAUC
RNAcentral lists this long non-coding RNA (2359 nucleotides) under Gossypium raimondii (Peruvian cotton). Its description in RNAcentral is "long non-coding RNA (GRAI_LNC005823)". Lineage: Eukaryota; Viridiplantae; Streptophyta; Magnoliopsida; Malvales; Malvaceae. The record is from RNAcentral.